This is a non-coding RNA of Phrynosoma platyrhinos (Desert horned lizard), 70 nucleotides long. The record is from the annotation of a GenBank genome assembly. Lineage: Eukaryota; Metazoa; Chordata; Lepidosauria; Squamata; Phrynosomatidae.
GGAGGUGGCUUAGUGGAUUGGAUGUUGGACUAGGGCUCUGGAGACCAGGGUUCAAAUCCCGUCUUGGCCA